AGUGAACGCUGGCGGCGUGCCUAAUACAUGCAAGUCGAACGGAGUGGCGCACGGGUGAGUAAUGUAUAGCUAAUCUUCCCUACACUAGAGGACAACAGUUUGAAACGACUGCUAAUACUCUAUAGUGUAGGAUGAGGCUAUAUUGUAUCAGCUAGUUGGUGAGGUAAUGGCUCACCAAGGCUAUGACGCAUAACUGGUCUGAGAGGAUGAGCAGUCACACCGGAACGGAGACACGGUCGAGACUCUUACGGGAGGCAGCAGUAGGGAAUAGUGCUCAAUGGGGGCAACCCUGAAGCAGCAACGCCGCGUGGAGUAUGACAAUUGUCGGAGCGUACACUACGUUUGUUAGGGAAGCGGUACCUAACGAAUAAGCACCGGCUAACUCCGUGCCAGCAGCCGCGGUAAUAC
Molecule: ribosomal RNA, 408 nt
Filed under: uncultured bacterium
Lineage: Bacteria
Description: partial 16S ribosomal RNA
Rfam family: Bacterial small subunit ribosomal RNA
Source: RNAcentral